RNAcentral lists this ribosomal RNA (424 nucleotides) under uncultured prokaryote. RNAcentral describes it as "bacterial SSU rRNA". It matches the Rfam family "Bacterial small subunit ribosomal RNA", at positions 355 to 796 of the family's 1533-position model. The record is from RNAcentral.
UGGGGAAUAUUGGACAAUGCGGGAAACCGUGAUCCAGCAAUGCCGCGUGAGUGAUGAAGGCCUUAGGGUUGUAAAGCUCUUUUACCAGGGAUGAUAAUGACAGUACCUGGAGAAUAAGCUCCGGCUAACUCCGUGCCAGCAGCCGCGGUAAUACGGAGGGAGCUAGCGUUGUUCGGAAUUACUGGGCGUAAAGCGCGCGUAGGCGGCUAUUCAAGUCAGGGGUGAAAUCCCGGGGCUCAACCCCGGAACUGCCCUUGAAACUAGGUAGCUAGAAUACUGGAGAGGUGAGUGGAAUUCCGAGUGUAGAGGUGAAAUUCGUAGAUAUUCGGAAGAACACCAGUGGCGAAGGCGACUCACUGGACAGUUAUUGACGCUGAGGUGCGAAAGCGUGGGGAGCAAACAGGAUUAGAUACCCCCGUAGUCC